Molecule: long non-coding RNA, 626 nt
Organism: Nothoprocta perdicaria
Lineage: Eukaryota; Metazoa; Chordata; Aves; Tinamiformes; Tinamidae
Exons: 3
Source: RefSeq, a predicted model, not a curated record
CCCAGCCUUCAAACAAUUUCUCUUGGAGGUUUCUACAGAAAUAGAUCUUCUGAAGGGAAGAGAAAGAACCCUGAGAAGCUGUGAACCAUUUUACCUGUCAGUGCUGGCACUUUUGAUGCUGCUCUUUUCCAUUCCAUCUUCUUUCUGUUCUGAUUUCCCAAUGAAUGGCAUUAGUUGAAUGCAGAUGCGGCUUCUACCAACCAAAUAUCAACUCUGAAGAAAUUAUCUGAACUCUCUAAGUGUCUUGCACAGUUCCAAAGUUCCACAUCUGGCGCUACCUCUGAAUCUUCCAUAGGCUGCUUCAAACUGUAUUUCUGAUCCUGCACUGAAAAAGGGAAAACAGCGCUAUCAGGUUAAAUGCCAUCAUCAGCUGUUUGCAUCAAUUUGCAGACUCAGCACAGGAUUUUCUUCAGGGAGGAUUCCUAGUGCUACCCUGGWGUAUUCAUUCAACCGGUCAUUUACUGCUUCCUAAUAUUCAUAAGGUUCAUAAUAUUCAGUAUGCUGGAUUAUGUUGCAAGUUUAGAGUCAUUAAAGAGUCCUCUGUGGUAGAGAAUUAGGUAUAAUGUUCUGCUGUGUCUUCUCACCCUUUGUGGAGGUGUGUGAGUAAAAUCCCAGACCUGUCACAU